UGAGCAACCUGCCCCGGACUCUGGGAUAACAGUUGGAAACAGCUGCUAAUACUGGAUACGAGCUGCGAAGGCAUCUUCAGCAGCUGGAAAGAACUUCGGUCUGGGGAUGGGCUCGCGGCCUAUCAGCUAGUUGGUGAGGUAACGGCUCACCAAGGCGUCGACGGGUAGCCGGCCUGAGNGGGUGACCGGCCACACGUGGGACUGAGACACCGGCCCAGACCUCGUACGGGGACGG
This 235-nucleotide ribosomal RNA is filed under the name uncultured bacterium. RNAcentral's name for it is "partial 16S ribosomal RNA". It matches the Rfam family "Bacterial small subunit ribosomal RNA", at positions 118 to 351 of the family's 1533-position model. The record is from RNAcentral.